Molecule: ribosomal RNA, 528 nt
Filed under: uncultured bacterium
Lineage: Bacteria
Description: bacterial SSU rRNA
Rfam family: Bacterial small subunit ribosomal RNA
Source: RNAcentral
AAUAGAUACCCGGGUAGUCCACGCCGUAAACGAUGAGUGCUAAGUGUUAGAGGGUUUCCGCCCUUUAGUGCUGCAGCUAACGCAUUAAGCACUCCGCCUGGGGAGUACGGCCGCAAGGCUGAAACUCAAAGGAAUUGACGGGGGCCCGCACAAGCGGUGGAGCAUGUGGUUUAAUUCGAAGCAACGCGAAGAACCUUACCAGGUCUUGACAUCCUCUGACAACCCUAGAGAUAGGGCUUUCCCCUUCGGGGGACAGAGUGACAGGUGGUGCAUGGUUGUCGUCAGCUCGUGUCGUGAGAUGUUGGGUUAAGUCCCGCAACGAGCGCAACCCUUGAUCUUAGUUGCCAGCAUUCAGUUGGGCACUCUAAGGUGACUGCCGGUGACAAACCGGAGGAAGGUGGGGAUGACGUCAAAUCAUCAUGCCCCUUAUGACCUGGGCUACACACGUGCUACAAUGGAUGGUACAAGGGCUGCAAACCUGCGAAGGUAAGCGAAUCCCAUAAAGCCAUUCUCAGUUCGGAUUGCAGG